GUGCUCGCUUCAGCAGCAUAUAUACUAAAAUUGGAAUGAUACAGAGAUUAGCAUGGUUCCUGCACAAGGAUGACACCCAAAUUUGUGAAGCGUUCCAUAUUUUU
This is a small nuclear RNA of Myotis lucifugus (little brown bat), 104 nucleotides long. Lineage: Eukaryota; Metazoa; Chordata; Mammalia; Chiroptera; Vespertilionidae. The record is from Ensembl.